UACGUAGGGGGCAAGCGUUGUCCGGAUUUAUUGGGCGUAAAGAGCGUGUAGGCGGCUUGGUAGGUCUCGCGUCAAAACCUGAGGCUCAACCUCAGUUCGCGUGGGAAACCACCUAGCUAGAGUCCGGAAGAGGAGAACGGAAUUCCCAGUGUAGCGGUGGAAUGCGCAGAUAUCAGGAGGAACACCGGUGGCGAAGGCGGGUCUCUGGGCAGUAACUGACGCUGAGGAGCGAAAGCGUGGGGAGCGAACAGG
This 252-nucleotide ribosomal RNA is filed under the name uncultured bacterium. Its description in RNAcentral is "partial 16S ribosomal RNA". It matches the Rfam family "Bacterial small subunit ribosomal RNA", at positions 524 to 776 of the family's 1533-position model. The record is from RNAcentral.